AAGUCGUAACAAGGUUUCCGUAGGUGAACCUGCGGAAGGAUCAUUAGUGAAUAUUAGGGCGUCUUUUCGGAGAGCCUGACCUCCACUUCUAACACUGUGCACUUGAUGGCUUAUUGAGAUGGAUUAGAACGAGAGUUCUUUGAAGUCUUGGUUUGCGGCUUUCAUUUUAAACAUUGGUACAAGUAUGUAACGAAAUAUCGAAACAAAAAAAG
This 212-nucleotide unclassified non-coding RNA is filed under the name plant metagenome. RNAcentral describes it as "partial contains small subunit ribosomal RNA and internal transcribed spacer 1". The stretch from base 1 to 46 matches the Rfam family "Eukaryotic small subunit ribosomal RNA", at positions 1786 to 1831 of the family's 1831-position model. The record is from RNAcentral.